CGACAUUACGUACCUUUGAAUAAUGUUUACCAUUUGUUGAUAAUUUUCUUGUGGUUUUCUCAUUCAGUCAAAGAUUAUCAACUGGUUCUUAGGAAUUUCAAUGACCAUGAGUAUCCAGUUAAAGCUGUUUACACACAUAUAUAUAGUCAGGCCUAUAUAUAACUAUAUAAAACUUGUCUCGAGUAAUAAUAAGUAAAAUAAAAUAUGCAUGCACUUAAUAACUAUAUAACUCACUCGAAGUUGAAGGGGAAGAGUAUUUUUUAUUUUUCUUUUUGGUUCACAAAGAACCUCAUAAGAUUGGUGCAGACUUCUGUCUCAUGAGCUGCUGUCCACACUGCCUGCGGAGCCUUGAAAAUAAUAUAAGGGUCAACGAACUCAAUACUAUUGUCAUUUCUGAUUCUGAGCUCUCUCAUUUGGUGCCUGCAUAUAUACAUACAAAUCUUAAGUGUGUAAGGAUUAUAUACAUGUAAUUAAAGAAGUUGGAAGUAUAAUAAAAAGAAAGAAAUACUUACAGACAAAAGCAGCUGACAAGAGAUUUGUCGAGAGCGUCGAGGUGACAUAAUUGGUGCAAUUCUUCUAACUGCACGUAUAUGAGGUCAUCUCCACGGAAGUAGUGAUGUUGUCUAAUACGAACAGAAAUCCAAUUUUCUCUCCUUUUAGACGCCUCAAUGCACCAU
Molecule: long non-coding RNA, 677 nt
Filed under: Sorghum bicolor (sorghum)
Lineage: Eukaryota; Viridiplantae; Streptophyta; Magnoliopsida; Poales; Poaceae
Description: long non-coding RNA (SBIC_LNC009062)
Source: RNAcentral